RNAcentral lists this ribosomal RNA (253 nucleotides) under uncultured bacterium. Its description in RNAcentral is "partial 16S ribosomal RNA". It matches the Rfam family "Bacterial small subunit ribosomal RNA", at positions 524 to 776 of the family's 1533-position model. The record is from RNAcentral.
UACGUAGGGUGCAAGCGUUGUCCGGAAUUAUUGGGCGUAAAGAGCUCGUAGGCGGUCUUUCGCGUCGGCUGUGAAAUCCCGAGGCUCAACCUCGGGUCUGCAGUCGAUACGGGCAAACUAGAGUAUUGCAGGGGAGACUGGAAUUCCUGGUGUAGCGGUGAAAUGCGCAGAUAUCAGGAGGAACACCGGUGGCGAAGGCGGGUCUCUGGGCAAUAACUGACGCUGAGGAGCGAAAGCGUGGGGAGCGAACAGG